GGACCUGACGAACGAUGAGAACGUGUGGAGUGCCUUGGCAGGUGCACUGCCUUACAGUCUUGCGAGAACAGGAUUUGACCAGAUGGCAGUUCAACGGUUCAUUGCAGCGAGGACUUUACGAGAAGCAAAAAGGAUUGUCAUCACCGGUGCUCUCUUCGUAUUAUCAUUCUUCGCAUUCGCAGCUGUCGGCGCCCUUGCGAUAAUAUACUGGUACAGGGACUGCGAUCCAGUUCUCGCUGGUGUCAUCAGCAGCUUUGACCAGCACGGUGUCGUCAAUCGUCAAUUCCCAUGCGGCCACAUUCUACAUUGACAUCGUUUCACCGUAUGUCAACAUGAGCGACAGGACAGCCACGAACGUAAUGCGCCUUCUAGCAUUGGCAAGCGGCACCAUAAUGACCCUAUUUGCCAUCGCAGUACCAUUUCUCGGCACAGCUUCAAGG
This is a non-coding RNA of Dermacentor andersoni, 440 nucleotides long. The record is from RefSeq and is a predicted model, not a curated record. NCBI's taxonomy places the organism in Eukaryota, Metazoa, Arthropoda, Arachnida, Ixodida, Ixodidae.